RNAcentral lists this unclassified non-coding RNA (219 nucleotides) under Hevea brasiliensis (rubber tree). The record is from RNAcentral. Lineage: Eukaryota; Viridiplantae; Streptophyta; Magnoliopsida; Malpighiales; Euphorbiaceae.
AAAUCAUCCACAGUUUUCUUUUCGUAGUUGGUUCUUGAAAAUAAUGAUAGGGAAAGAAAAAGAAAGAUGCACAAAAAUGGCUUCUUCCAUAGGAUCUAAUGUACUUCUCAGUUCUUUCCUUCAUUCUUUCCACGAACCAGCUUGUUUGGAGUUGUAAAAUGCUAUAUGUAUUACUAUCGAAAAGAGUAUCAUGGAUUUACCAUGUUAACUUAAAUCUCG